UACGAAGGGGGCUAGCGUUGUUCGGAAUUACUGGGCGUAAAGGGCUCGUAGGCGGCCAACUAAGUCCGACGUGAAAUCCCCAGGCUUAACCUGGGAACUGCGUCGGAUACUGGAUGGCUUGAAUUCGGGAGAGGGAUGCAGAAUUCCACGUGUAGCAGUGAAAUGCGUAGAGAUGUGGAGGAACACCGAUGGCGAAGGCAGCCCCCUGGGUCAAGAUUGACGCUCAUGCACGAAAGCGUGGGGAGCAAACAGG
RNAcentral lists this ribosomal RNA (253 nucleotides) under uncultured bacterium. Its description in RNAcentral is "partial 16S ribosomal RNA". It matches the Rfam family "Bacterial small subunit ribosomal RNA", at positions 524 to 776 of the family's 1533-position model. The record is from RNAcentral.